RNAcentral lists this ribosomal RNA (507 nucleotides) under uncultured bacterium. RNAcentral describes it as "bacterial SSU rRNA". It matches the Rfam family "Bacterial small subunit ribosomal RNA", at positions 338 to 816 of the family's 1533-position model. The record is from RNAcentral.
CCUACGGGAGGCAGCAGUGGGGAAUUUUGGACAAUGGGCGCAAGCCUGAUCCAGCAAUGCCGCGUGCAGGAUGAAGGCCUUCGGGUUGUAAACUGCUUUUGUACGGAACGAAACGGUCUGCUCUAAUACAGUGGGCUAAUGACGGUACCGUAAGAAUAAGCACCGGCUAACUACGUGCCAGCAGCCGCGGUAAUACGUAGGGUGCGAGCGUUAAUCGGAAUUACUGGGCGUAAAGCGUGCGCAGGCGGUUAUAUAAGACAGAUGUGAAAUCCCCGGGCUCAACCUGGGACCUGCAUUUGUGACUGUAUAGCUAGAGUGCGGCAGAGGGGGAUGGAAUUCCGCGUGUAGCAGUGAAAUGCGUAGAUAUGCGGAGGAACACCGAUGGCGAAGGCAAUCCCCUGGGGCCUGCCACUGACGCUCAUGCACGAAACGACGGUGGGGAGGACGAAACGAAGGAGUAGUACUACCCGUACGGUACGUACCGACCGACCCGUAACCGUACGUAGU